Molecule: long non-coding RNA, 226 nt
Organism: Papilio xuthus (Asian swallowtail)
Lineage: Eukaryota; Metazoa; Arthropoda; Insecta; Lepidoptera; Papilionidae
Exons: 3
Source: RefSeq, a predicted model, not a curated record
GACUUGGAAGAAAAACUCUUGGCGACAGCGGCAUUUCAUAAAAGUAACAGGCCCGGCCGACUUUCCUUUGACAAGAUCCAUCGUUAUGCAGAGGUUAAUGCCUAUCUCGACGAGUUGGCUGAGAAAUACGAUACCGUAACUGUGGUAUCUGCUGGCAAGAGUUUCGAAGGUCGUGACAUAAGAUACUUAAAGAUUUCUACCACCAACUUUGAGGAUACCAAUAAGC